CCCUUGUUACUCCCCACUAAAUCCUGCCUAUACCUUCAUUAAACUCUUCGAAUAACCCAUACUGAGUGUGCUGGACUCCGCUACAGAUGGUUUAUGCUGCAGUGCCAUUCUGUCCCUACCACCCACGUCCCCAUGCCAGAUAUAUUUUCUAAAUCUGUGGUGAGAAGAGACAGGAAGGGGAGAUAGGGGCCAUUUCCUACCACAGUUUCAGGCAUGAGUCUUCCAGCAUGCCCUUCUUGGAGAUUACAUGGGCAGCUUACCCUGGGGCAGCCAGACCUUCCAUCUUAGGUAACAGACCCCAGUGUUUAGGCCGUCUGCCCGUGUGGACUCUACACCAUUUCUCUCCCCUGAUGUAUGAGGACUGAAUGAAGAGAUGGCCCAUCUCAACGAGGCAAACAAAUAAAAAACAAGGUCACUAAUUCUGAAGAAGCAGAGUGAAAAGACAUCGACCUGAAACAGAGCAUUAAGAAGAGUCAAGAAAUGCAGCACUUCAGAAUAGGGCUCUCACAACAUCGAUAUGAAGCUGAAAAGUUACCCCAAAGCUGAGCAUCUUAAUGUUGAAGCAAUGCUGGUGAUCAUCGCCUGCAACUUUCCAUUUUGUUACCAUAUUCCUGAGAGGGGGACAACCAUCCUCUGAACACCAACAAGAACAGGGAGUUCUCUCUCAAGAGAGCAGCCCACCUCAUUCAACAGCUCUAAUAACUAAAAUGCCUGCAGUUAUAUAGGGGUAUGACUUGGUCAUUUGUCUUCCAGACACGGAAGAAGUACAUGGCCAUGCUCCCAUUAUCUAAAUUCAGCCACUAAAGAGCCCUGGGAGCAUCAUAGCAGCAGAUCAAACAGCAGAGAAUACUGCCCUGAUCCUCUGUGAUCCAUUGAGACUGGGAAAAAAGAAAAAACAAGACGACUGCAUCAAACCUAAGGAACUAGCCCUGGGUGGGUACAGGGAGAAGCAGAGAGACUUGCCUUCAGGUCUUCAGACUCACUUUGGGACCUACACCAGUGGUCACCACCCUGCUCUCUCCUCUCCCCUCUGAUCUCAGACCUUCAGACUCAGACUGGGAAUUACACAGUCAGCUCCUCUGCUUUUCCAGGUUGAAGUUGGCACAUUGUAGGACUUCUUGGCUUCCAU
Molecule: long non-coding RNA, 1129 nt
Filed under: Homo sapiens (human)
Lineage: Eukaryota; Metazoa; Chordata; Mammalia; Primates; Hominidae
Description: HSALNT0380700
Source: RNAcentral